Molecule: ribosomal RNA, 291 nt
Filed under: uncultured bacterium
Lineage: Bacteria
Description: partial 16S ribosomal RNA
Rfam family: Bacterial small subunit ribosomal RNA
Source: RNAcentral
AAAGUUUCGGCGGUUGGGGAUGGACUCGCGGCUUAUCAGCUUGUUGGUGGGGUAGUGGGCUUACCCAAGGCUUUGACGGGUAGCCGGCCUGAGAGGGUGACCGGCCACAUUGGGACUGAGAUACGGCCCAGACUCCUACGGGAGGCAGCAGUGGGGAAUAUUGCACAAUGGGCGGAAGCCUGAUGCAGCAACGCCGCGUGCGGGAUGACGGCCUUCGGGUUGUAAACCGCUUUCGCCUGUGACGAAGCGUGAGUGACGGUAAUGGGUAAAGAAGCACCGGCUAACUACGUG